GCCCCCAUCGUCUAACGGUUAGGACGCGGCCCUUUCAAGGCUGAAACAGGAGUUCGAUUCUCCUUGGGGGCACCA
Molecule: transfer RNA, 75 nt
Filed under: Elusimicrobiota bacterium
Lineage: Bacteria; Pseudomonadati; Elusimicrobiota
Description: Elusimicrobia bacterium (groundwater metagenome) tRNA-Glu
Rfam family: tRNA
About the family: Transfer RNA (tRNA) molecules are approximately 80 nucleotides in length. Their secondary structure includes four short double-helical elements and three loops (D, anti-codon, and T loops).
Source: RNAcentral